AGAUGAAAAGCAAUCUGAAAUUGCGAAUAGGAGAUAUGAAGGUUCAUGAAUCUGAAUACUCAAUAUAGUUGGAGUCUUGAUGACGGUAAAACAGGUGGUCUAACCGACACACGCGAUUACACGAAAGUAGCAAAGGCUAAACUUUAUCUAAUCAAAACCCAAGGCUCCAUAGGGGGGCUCAUGGGGUAUAGAUAGGAGGGAAACUAGGUGGUUUUC
Molecule: long non-coding RNA, 216 nt
Filed under: Brachypodium distachyon (stiff brome)
Lineage: Eukaryota; Viridiplantae; Streptophyta; Magnoliopsida; Poales; Poaceae
Description: long non-coding RNA (BDIS_LNC004233)
Source: RNAcentral